UCGUAAUUCAUCAAAAUUGUUAAUUACAUCCACAAAGAAGGCUAUAAUCAAAUUUGAUUUUAUUUCCAGCGAAAUUUAUUUUCCAAAUAAUAUUUAGUUGUUAGACAAUUCUAUAUAGCGAUCGUUGGAUCGAUUGAAUUAGGCUUCCAAGGUUCCAAGGUUGCCAGAGGAUAAUAGAUUACUGCAGAAGGUAUGAAGGGACAAGAGACAGAGAUUCAAGGACGAUAUGUUCUAGUUUAUCUGACAUUUCGAAAUGUCUGCUUUCUGGAGUUGCCAUUCGAUGGAAAUAUCACUAUCGAGCUAUAACAAAAGAGUGGACAAUGCGAAUACUUCAGAGAGAAAAGAAACGUAUAAACAAACAAUCAAACGAUCGGAGUUAAUUGAGUUGUUUGAAGGAUUGGUGAUUUCUUUUUCUCUUUUGUAUGUCAUUUACAGUUUGAUUAGCUCGAUGAAAAAUUCUAUGGUGCCUGUGAUCGCCCAUCAAACCCGCAGGUCGAAAUAAAUCGCGUAGAUGAAAUGUCAGAGACAACAGCGAUCUCAUUUUCAUAAGUCACAGAGUUUGAAAAUAUUCAUUUGAUCGCUGUGUUUUAUUCUUUAAUUAUCCAAGUCAUUGACGAAUCAUUUUUCUCUUUUUUUCUAAUAUAUUCCAAGAUUUU
This 656-nucleotide unclassified non-coding RNA is filed under the name Bombus terrestris (buff-tailed bumblebee). Its description in RNAcentral is "misc RNA ENSBTSG00005034211.1". Lineage: Eukaryota; Metazoa; Arthropoda; Insecta; Hymenoptera; Apidae. The record is from RNAcentral.